AAAUUGACUCUGAGUUCUUCAAUAAUCGAGACAUUAUAAACGCUGCUACUGUAACAUCAGGGCUUCCUAAAGAGGAAUAUUUUAGAGAGGGAGCUGCACCUACAGAGUCUCCUUGUAGUGUGACUGACAAAUGGGAAAAAAUUGUAGUUGAAGCUGGAAACUCUGAACUCAUGCAGACCAAAGAUAUUGAAAGGACUCCUAUAAAUGAAGUUUUGGAUAAGAAAACCAUAGAUGCUGGGAAUAAGAAUCGGCAAUGUAUUGCUUUUAUUGAAUCGAAAGGAAGGCAGUGUGUUAGAUGGGCAAAUGAUGGUGAUGUUUAUUGUUGUGUACAUUUAGCCACUCGUUUCAUUGGCAGCUCCACCAGGGCAGAGGCAAGUCCUCCUGUUAAUAGUCCAAUGUGUGAAGGCACCACUGUUCUUGGAACCCGAUGUAAACAUCGUUCUCUACCAGGUUCCUCAUUCUGCAAGAAACACGGACCCCGGAUUGAUACAAUAAAUACCUCAAAUUCACCUGAAAAUAUACUUAAGAGAAAGCAUGAGCAGAUUAUUCCAGGUUCAGAGGCCAC
RNAcentral lists this unclassified non-coding RNA (565 nucleotides) under Hevea brasiliensis (rubber tree). Lineage: Eukaryota; Viridiplantae; Streptophyta; Magnoliopsida; Malpighiales; Euphorbiaceae. The record is from RNAcentral.